Molecule: transfer RNA, 90 nt
Filed under: Acidobacteriota bacterium
Lineage: Bacteria; Pseudomonadati; Acidobacteriota
Description: Acidobacteria bacterium (bioreactor metagenome) tRNA-Ser
Rfam family: tRNA
About the family: Transfer RNA (tRNA) molecules are approximately 80 nucleotides in length. Their secondary structure includes four short double-helical elements and three loops (D, anti-codon, and T loops).
Source: RNAcentral
GGAGGGAUGGCCGAGUGGUUUAAGGCGGCGGUCUUGAAAACCGUUGUACGGGAAACCGUGCCGGGGGUUCGAAUCCCUCUCCCUCCGCCA